Lycium barbarum (goji berry) is the source of this 997-nucleotide long non-coding RNA. RefSeq lists it as uncharacterized. The transcript is spliced from 5 exons. The record is from RefSeq and is a predicted model, not a curated record. NCBI's taxonomy places the organism in Eukaryota, Viridiplantae, Streptophyta, Magnoliopsida, Solanales, Solanaceae.
UUAAUAUAUGCACAUAAACAUCGAAAAUUUACCCUAUAUAUACACUUUAAUUUUUUGUCGAGGGUGUUCGGGUGAACACCCUCGAUAUCACAUAGAUCCGCCCCUGCUUACAAAACUGAUUCUUUUCUGCGAUUCUGGAUUAUUUCUGCGUUAUUCUUUCCCUCCACUCUCUCUGAAAUGUUCUUCCUUCUCUAUCUUUUUUUGUUCUAUUGUUCUCUUGCUUCACUUUUUUCCAAUAUCUUGAAUUCCUCUAUAUUCUUUCCUCAUUGCCAUCUCCAUUAUAUUUUUCAUGUUCCAGUUACUUGCCUUUGAUUUGUUUAAUUCUGUCUGUGUUUCCGUUAUAACAGUGAAGAGGAACUACGUCAUCAAUGGUACCCUACUUAACUAUGAGAAAAAAAGGGGCUGCUUUCUUUGACGUCCAUAAAUCUUUCGACAAAAUGCUGUACAGAGAGACCACGGCUUGAGAAAAGAGUGUUUUUUUCUCAACAGAUGCAGGUCUGCCUUUUUCCCACUGUGUUUUACUUCUGGCGCUUUAGAAUAUUGAUGGAGAUUGUAAGGGAACAAGGAUAAGGAAGGCGCCUCUGUUCUGUCUCUACCGCUGCUAAAAAUAGAGUUAUGAAGUUUGAUGGAGGCAGGAAAAUGGAGAUGGCAAACCAACGACUCUGACAAGAGAUGCUUCAGAUCUGAUUUUGGUUUUAACGCCGGCAAUGUUGCACUACAUAGUUAUGCAAGUCUGUUCACAUAUUUAAGACGGUCUAUUUUUGAGCACUUGAGUAUUUCACAAAUGUCGAGAUUGAAGAGCUCGGCUAAUGGUACAAAUAUUGUUCGAUCAUAUAUUCGACAAGAUUACAUAAACUUUAUUGUAAUAUGCCUGUGGUGUAGAGAGUGUGUUUCUACUCUUAAGAAUACAUAACGUGAUUCAAAAAUUACAUAAUGUUUACAUGUGUAAGUGGUGUAUGAAGAAAAAGAAGAACAUAUAUGUAUUCUCUUUUCUCAA